UACGGAGGGUGCAAGCGUUUGUCCGGAUUUAUUGGGUUUAAAGGGUGCGUAGGCGGCCUAAUAAGUCAGUGGUGAAAGCCUCCAGCUUAACUGGAGAACUGCCAUUGAUACUGUUAGGCUUGAGUAUACUUGAGGUAGGCGGAAUUGACAGUGUAGCGGUGAAAUGCAUAGAUAUUGUCAAGAACACCAAUUGCGAAGGCAGCUUACUAAAUUAUAACUGACGCUGAGGCACGAAAAGUGUGGGUAUCAAACAGG
RNAcentral lists this ribosomal RNA (255 nucleotides) under uncultured bacterium. RNAcentral's name for it is "partial 16S ribosomal RNA". It matches the Rfam family "Bacterial small subunit ribosomal RNA", at positions 524 to 776 of the family's 1533-position model. The record is from RNAcentral.